GGCUCCUCGGGCUUUCGCUGACGUCGACGUGCAUCGUGAUCCUCGAGAGGCAAAGCCGGCGACCCUAAGUAAGGGAGAAGAAACGCCAUCACUUAAAAAGACAGGAAUCCCGGCGGAACUCGUGCGAGACAUCGCGCAGUUCGGAGUUAACGCGGCGACGGAAAGAAUUCUCGCCUCGAUCGAAAAGGAAGUGUCGCUUCCGUAGACGACUUCAUGACUCCAUCCUACACCACGCCUUCCCCGCCGCAGACUCGCGCACGCAGAGCAUGCUCCUGCUGACUAGGGAGGCCUCACCUGUCGAUUCCUCGCCGCGGCGUCCGUCUCCACCUAGCCGGCCACAGAAGUCCGUGCAUUUCACCAAGCAGCUCGCUACCGCGCUUUACGGCCCCGCAGCUGCCAUCGGUGGCCCCCAUUGUAAGGCCCGACUUAGAUGCAGCGGCAGAAGUGGACUGGUCCUUACAUACACCGGAACGACUAUAUAAUAAAAAAUCUAAGCGAGGCGCCGCAGUUGAAGGGGUUAUGGAAGUAUCCGAGCGCCCAACGGUGCUCGUAUGAACAUCCACACUGUGAGUAGGGAGAAAAAGAGACCACUUCCUAUUUUCUCAGUUGCUUUGUAUUUUCUGUGCUGUUCGGUGCGUGAUCUUUUCCAAGUUCUCUUUGUGCUCCCAAAGUGUUAAAAUGUGCUUUCCUUCGUUAACUUCUGAGGCCUCUGUUCCCGUGCCUGUACCUGUAUCGGAGGGGGGGUGAGGAAAAUGUAGAGGGUCUAGAGGUUGGGGAGCCUGUAGGUGGGGUUUAUAUUCCUGAAAACCCGUAUGAGGAAUCGGAUGAUUCAGAGGAUGAGGAUUUGAAUCCUAUUUUAGUAAUAAGGCGUUAUGAGGAGGUGAGAGAGCGAGUCUUUUGUUUUGUUAAAUUGAGGGGUGGAACGGCUUUCCUCACACACUUAAUUUCCGAAACUUCCUCCUGGCCGUUCUCUUCUCGGAUUCGAAGAGCCACUGUAAAGGCCUUAUUUGUAACAGCGUUUUAUUGUGUCUUGAGUGGGUCUAUUAUAAAUCCCACAAAAUUCAGGUGGGCAAGGCCUACUCAAUGGAGAAGAGUAAAAGAUAUUUAUUGUUCACCUUUAUGGUGGCUCUACUGGAAACUGAAACUUGGCCCUGCGCUGGGUUUCAGAUACUACAGUACACGAGUAGUAAUUUGAUGGCAAAUGAAAUGAUUACACAUGAUGUGACAUGCAAAGUCAGGAGGUUAGGUUAGGUUUAGGGCCCGUUUGUUCUUUCUACAGACUGAUUACGCAUGAUGUGACAUGCAAAGUCAGGAGGUUAGAUUAGGUUUAGGGCCCGUUUGUUCUUUCUACAGACUAACUAUCACCACUCACAUCAACCUACACCUAUCAACCUCACAGGAAUGGAACCACUAUUAAUCUCGUUCAGGAUCGAUCAACACGGCUCCCUACCUCGGGCUACGUGGCAAUAUUCCCGAAAAAUGUCGAAUCAGAGCGAUGCCGCGCCUUGUAUACUCCGCAAUUUUAUAUAACCGUGAUUCCCUUGAACUGGAGGAAGAAAGAAAGCUGUUAGAGGAAUGUAAAGUAAAGGAAAUUAAAACCCAUAUAACGCCCCGCGAGGCACAAACGUUUAUCGUGAAUUUAGUGGCCACAUUACCGAAACCGUCGGUCACUACAAUAGUGAGCUUGGUGGCUAAACUUUCCCUAGAAAGAGCAAA
Molecule: long non-coding RNA, 1716 nt
Filed under: Bemisia tabaci
Lineage: Eukaryota; Metazoa; Arthropoda; Insecta; Hemiptera; Aleyrodidae
Description: lncRNA ENSSSA3NGG006928
Source: RNAcentral